AAUUCUCAACCGAUCCUUGGAUCGGCUUGGACUUGGGAGCUUGUUGGGUCCGCUCGGCUCUCCUGAAAUGCAUUGCAUUAAGCUAACGUGCACGGCCUCUGACGUGAUAAUGAUCGUCGUAGCUGGAGCGUGGGCUUGAUCGGAUCGGCUUUAGCUACUAGUUUGUUUGUAACCCGAACGAAACGAACGAACGCGAGUCUAACCUAAUG
This 209-nucleotide unclassified non-coding RNA is filed under the name uncultured Retiboletus. RNAcentral describes it as "sequence contains ITS2". Lineage: Eukaryota; Fungi; Basidiomycota; Agaricomycetes; Boletales; Boletaceae. The record is from RNAcentral.